GAUGAACGCUGGCGGCGUGCCUAAUACAUGCAAGUCGAGCGAACAGACGAGGAGCUUGCUCCCCUGACGUUAGCGGCGGACGGGUGAGUAACACGUAGAUAACCUACCUAUAAGACUGGGAUAACUUCGGGAAACCGGAGCUAAUACCGGAUAAUAUAUUGAACCGCAUGGUUCAAUAGAGAAAGACGCUUUUGCUGUCACUUAUAGAUGAAUCCGCGCCGCAUUAGCUAGUUGGUAAGGUAACGGCUUACCAAGGCGACGAUGCGUAGCCGACCUGAGAGGGUGAUCGGCCACACUGGAACUGAGACACGGUCCAGACUCCUACGGGAGGCAGCAGUGGGGAAUCUUGCGCAAUGGGCGAAAGCCUGACGGAGCAACGCCGCGUGAGUGAUGAAGGUCUUCGGAUCGUAAAACUCUGUUAUUAGGGAAGAACAAAUGUGUAAGUAACUAUGCACGUCUUGACGGUACCUAAUCAGAAAGCCACGGCUAACUACGUG
Molecule: ribosomal RNA, 497 nt
Filed under: uncultured bacterium
Lineage: Bacteria
Description: partial 16S ribosomal RNA
Rfam family: Bacterial small subunit ribosomal RNA
Source: RNAcentral